This 253-nucleotide ribosomal RNA is filed under the name uncultured bacterium. Its description in RNAcentral is "partial 16S ribosomal RNA". It matches the Rfam family "Bacterial small subunit ribosomal RNA", at positions 524 to 776 of the family's 1533-position model. The record is from RNAcentral.
UACGUAGGGGGCGAGCGUUGUCCGAAUUCACUGGGCGUAAAGCGCGCGUAGGCGGGCUUUUAAGUUGUGGGUGAAAUCCCGAGGCUCAACCUCGGAGCUGCCUGCAAAACUGGAAGCCUUGAGGUUUGGAGAGGGAAGUGGAAUUCCAGGUGUAGCGGUGAAAUGCGUAGAUAUCUGGAGGAACACCCGUGGCGAAGGCGGCUUCCUGGCCAUAUCCUGACGCUGAGGUGCGAAAGCUAGGGGAGCGAACGGG